Molecule: ribosomal RNA, 253 nt
Filed under: uncultured bacterium
Lineage: Bacteria
Description: partial 16S ribosomal RNA
Rfam family: Bacterial small subunit ribosomal RNA
Source: RNAcentral
UACAGAGGGGGCAAGCGUUAUUCGGAAUUAUUGGGCGUAAAGAGCUCGUAGGCGGUCUGUUGCGUCGGCUGUGAAAACCCGGGGCUCAACUCCGGGCCUGCAGCCGAUACGGGCAGACUAGAGUUCGGCAGGGGAGACUGGAAUUCCUGGUGUAGCGGUGAAAUGCGCAGAUAUCGGGAAGAACACCAGUGGCGAAGGCGCUCUACUGGGCCACAACUGACGCUGAGGGACGAAAGCUAGGGGAGCGAAAGGG